GAAGGGUUGAACUCCAAU
This 18-nucleotide ribosomal RNA is filed under the name Pisolithus microcarpus. RNAcentral's name for it is "partial 28S ribosomal RNA". The record is from RNAcentral. Lineage: Eukaryota; Fungi; Basidiomycota; Agaricomycetes; Boletales; Pisolithaceae.